CAAGGGACUUAAACGAAAAUUGAGUGCACUGGCGGAAACGCCGGCUGUAGAACUGCUCAAAUUCGGGGAAACCUGUCAGAUGGCAAUCCCGAGCCAAGCCUGAAUCAUCAUACAUUCAGGAAGGUGUAGAGACUAAACGGGCAGCACCUAAGGCAAGCGCUAGGGUGAAGAGAUAGUCCAGACCACAAACG
Molecule: non-coding RNA, 191 nt
Filed under: Hoeflea sp. EC-HK425
Lineage: Bacteria; Pseudomonadati; Pseudomonadota; Alphaproteobacteria; Hyphomicrobiales; Rhizobiaceae
Description: Intron_gpI
Rfam family: Group I catalytic intron
About the family: Group I catalytic introns are large self-splicing ribozymes. They catalyse their own excision from mRNA, tRNA and rRNA precursors in a wide range of organisms.
Source: RNAcentral